This 69-nucleotide transfer RNA is filed under the name Microlophus theresiae. RNAcentral describes it as "tRNA-His". It matches the Rfam family "tRNA". Rfam says of the family: Transfer RNA (tRNA) molecules are approximately 80 nucleotides in length. The record is from RNAcentral. Lineage: Eukaryota; Metazoa; Chordata; Lepidosauria; Squamata; Tropiduridae.
GUCAACAUAGUUUAACAAAAACAUUAGGCUGUGGCUCUAAAAACAGAAGAUACCCCCUUCUUGUUGACC